This 496-nucleotide ribosomal RNA is filed under the name uncultured bacterium. Its description in RNAcentral is "partial 16S ribosomal RNA". It matches the Rfam family "Bacterial small subunit ribosomal RNA", at positions 29 to 507 of the family's 1533-position model. The record is from RNAcentral.
AUGAACGCUGGCGGCGUGCCUAAUACAUGCAAGUCGAGCGAACAGACGAGGAGCUUGCUCCUCUGACGUUAGCGGCGGACGGGUGAGUAACACGUGGAUAACCUACCUAUAAGACUGGGAUAACUUCGGGAAACCGGAGCUAAUACCGGAUAAUAUAUUGAACCGCAUGGUUCAAUAGUGAAAGACGGUUUUGCUGUCACUUAUAGAUGGAUCCGCGCCGCAUUAGCUAGUUGGUAAGGUAACGGCUUACCAAGGCAACGAUGCGUAGCCGACCUGAGAGGGUGAUCGGCCACACUGGAACUGUGACACGGUCCAGACUCCUACGGGAGGCAGCAGUAGGGAAUCUUCCGCAAAGGGCGAAAGCUUGACGGAGCAACGCCGCGUGAGUGAUGAAGGUCUUCGGAUCGUAAAACUCUGUUAUUAGGGAAGAACAAAUGUGUAAGUAACUAUGCACGUCUUGACGGUACCUAAUCAGAAAGCCACGGCUAACUACGUG